UUGCUUUUAACAGCACAUAGACUAAAACUUGAAUGAUUCUGAGUUUAGCAUGGCCCCUGUGCAAGGAUGACAUGCAAAUUCAUGAAGCACUCCAUGAAAAA
Molecule: small nuclear RNA, 101 nt
Organism: Bison bison bison
Lineage: Eukaryota; Metazoa; Chordata; Mammalia; Artiodactyla; Bovidae
Source: Ensembl